CGUCAUCAACAGAUCGUUCGGGUUCACUAAAACCAUUAUCUACUUGGCUAAGCUCCUCGUAUAAAUCGUCACCAACGUCUUGACAGUCACUUAUGUUUGAAAGGUCGUCAGUGUUCAUUCUUGGUCCUUAAAUUUGAAAUGUUUUGAAAUAAUUUUAUC
Bradysia coprophila is the source of this 159-nucleotide long non-coding RNA. NCBI's taxonomy places the organism in Eukaryota, Metazoa, Arthropoda, Insecta, Diptera, Sciaridae. The record is from RefSeq and is a predicted model, not a curated record.